AAAGGAAAAGAGAAAUUGGAGAAGCAGUCCAUUUUAUACUCCGUUUGGAGGAGGAGCUCGAUUUUGUCCAUGGGUAGAGUUGGCUCGCCUUCAAAUUGCUCUCUUUCUUCAUUACUUCGUUACUACAUACAGAUAGACCCAACUCAAGGAGGAUCGGAUGUCUUUCUUUCCUUCAGCUCGAUUUGUGAAUGGCUUUCAAAUCCAAAUAACCAGACGGGAUGACGAGUUGAAAAAAA
Non-coding RNA from Camellia sinensis, 236 nucleotides. Lineage: Eukaryota; Viridiplantae; Streptophyta; Magnoliopsida; Ericales; Theaceae. The record is from RefSeq and is a predicted model, not a curated record.